ACGCUCGACACCUACGGGAGCCAGCAGUCGGGAAUAUUGCGCAAUGGAGGAAACUCUGACGCAGUGACGCCGCGUGCAGGAAGAAGGUUUUCGGAUUGUAAACUGCUUUAGACAGGGAAGAAAAAGGACAGUACCUGUAGAAUAAGCUCCGGCUAACUACGUGCCAGCAGCCGCGGUAAUCUGAGCGGGCUGGCAAGGC
RNAcentral lists this ribosomal RNA (199 nucleotides) under uncultured bacterium. Its description in RNAcentral is "partial 16S ribosomal RNA". It matches the Rfam family "Bacterial small subunit ribosomal RNA", at positions 328 to 539 of the family's 1533-position model. The record is from RNAcentral.